UUACACAUGCAAGUCGAACGGUAACANGGUUAANNGCUGACGAGUGNCGAACGGGUGAGUAAUGCAUCGGAACGUGCCCGGUCGUGGGGGAUAACAUGCNGAAACGUGCGCUAAUACCGCAUACGAUCUGAGGAUGAAAGCGGGGGACCGUAAGGCCUCGCUGCGAUCGGAGCGUCCGAUGUCAGAUUAGGUAGUUGGUGGGGUAAANGCUCACCAAGCCAACGAUCUGUAGCUGGUCUGAGAGGACGACAAUCGGAAUUACUGGGCGUAAAGCGUGCGCAGGCGGUUUUGUAAGACAGGCGUGAAAUCCCCGGGCUCAACCUGGGAAUGGCGCUUGUGACUGCAAAGCUGGAGUGCGGCAGAGGGGGAUGGAAUUCCGCGUGUAGCAGUGAAAUGCGUAGAUAUGCGGAGGAACACCGAUGGCGAAGGCAAUCCCCUGGGCCUGCACUGACGCUCAUGCACGAAAGCGUGGGGAGCAAACAGGAUUAGAUACCCUGGUAGUCCACGCCCUAAACGAUGUCAACUGGUUGUUGGGUCUUUACUGACUCAGUAACGAAGCUAACGCGUGAAGUUGACCGCC
Molecule: ribosomal RNA, 580 nt
Filed under: uncultured beta proteobacterium
Lineage: Bacteria; Pseudomonadati; Pseudomonadota; Betaproteobacteria
Description: bacterial SSU rRNA
Rfam family: Bacterial small subunit ribosomal RNA
Source: RNAcentral